RNAcentral lists this ribosomal RNA (497 nucleotides) under uncultured bacterium. RNAcentral describes it as "partial 16S ribosomal RNA". It matches the Rfam family "Bacterial small subunit ribosomal RNA", at positions 28 to 507 of the family's 1533-position model. The record is from RNAcentral.
GAUGAACGCUGGCGGCGUGCCUAAUACAUGCAAGUCGAGCGAACAGACGAGGAGCUUGCUCCUCUGACGUUAGCGGCCGACGGGUGAGUAACACGUGGAUAACCUACCUAUAAGACUGGGAUAAUUUCGGGAAACCGGAGCUAAUACCGGAUAAUAUAUUGCACCGCAUGGUUCAAUAGUGAAAGACGGUUUUGCUGUCACUUAUAGAUGGAUCCGCGCCGGAUCAGCUAGUUGGUAAGGUAACGGCUUACCAAGGCGACGAUGCGUAGCCGACCUGAGAGGGUGAGAUCCAAACCUGGAACGGAGACACGGUCAAGACUCCUAGGGGAGGCAGCAGUAGGGAAUCUUCCGCAAUGGGCGAAAGCCUGACGGAGCAACGCCGCGUGAGUGGUGAAGGUCUUCGGAUCGUAAAACUCUGUUAUUAGGGAAGAACAAAUGUGUAAGUAACUAUGCACGUCUAGACGGUACCUAAGCAGAAAGCCACGGCUAAAUACGUG